This 250-nucleotide ribosomal RNA is filed under the name uncultured bacterium. RNAcentral describes it as "partial 16S ribosomal RNA". It matches the Rfam family "Bacterial small subunit ribosomal RNA", at positions 524 to 773 of the family's 1533-position model. The record is from RNAcentral.
UACGGAGGAUGCGAGCGUUAUCCGGAUUUAUUGGGUUUAAAGGGUGCGUAGGCGGGCUUUUAAGUCAGCGGUGAAAGUUUGCGGCUCAACCGUAAAAUUGCCGUUGAAACUGGUAGUCUUGAGUAUAUUUGAAGUAGGCGGAAUUCAUAGUGUAGCGGUGAAAUGCAUAGAUAUUAUGAAGAACUCCAAUUGCGCAGGCAGCUUACUAAACUAUAACUGACGCUGAAGCACGAAAGCGUGGGUAUCAAAC